AGGGAAUUCCUUUUGUAACGGCGAGUGAAGCGGGAAUAGCUCAAAUUUGAAAGCUGGCAGCAAUGUCCGCGUUGUAAUCUCGAGAAGUGUUUUCCGUGCUGGACCAUAGAUAUGUUCCUUGGAAUAGGAUGUCAAAGAGGGUGAGAAUCCCGUACAUGCUAUGGACGCCCAGUGCUUUGUGAUACACUUUCGAAGAGUCGAGUUGUUUGGGAAUGCAGCUCAAAAUGGGUGGUAAAUUCCAUCUAAAGCUAAAUAUUGGGGAGAGACCGAUAGCAAACAAGUACCGUGAGGGAAAGAUGAAAAGCACUUUGGAAAGAGAGUUAAACAGUACGUGAAAUUGUCAAAAGGGAAGCGCUUCAAGUCAGAUAUGGCUUUAAAUGUUCAGCCUUUCGGUGUAUUCAUUUUUUGUCAGGCCAGCAUGGAUUUUGAACGUCGGAUAAGGGUAGAAGGAAUGUAGCAUACUUUCGGGUAUGUGUUAUAGCCUUUUACUGGAUACGACGAUCGGGAUCGAGGUUCGCAGCACACCCUUUUGUGUGCAGGUGUUCGGACACUUUUGUUCUUAGGAUGCUGGCGGGGUACUGG
RNAcentral lists this ribosomal RNA (582 nucleotides) under Meira argovae. Its description in RNAcentral is "eukaryotic LSU rRNA". It matches the Rfam family "Eukaryotic large subunit ribosomal RNA", at positions 69 to 637 of the family's 3401-position model. The record is from RNAcentral. Lineage: Eukaryota; Fungi; Basidiomycota; Exobasidiomycetes; Exobasidiales; Brachybasidiaceae.